CAAGAUGAUUUUUGUCCCAUUAUAUUUGGUAGACCUUUCCUGAACACUGUUAACGCUAAAAUAGACUAUGAGAAGGAAACCAUUAGUGUAAGUUUCAGGGAUGUGUCUGAGUUUAAUUUCUCCAAAUUCCGUAGACAACCUCGUGAUAAAGAAUUGCCUAAUAAAGAUGAAAUUAUUGGUCUUGCUUCUAUUGCUGUGCCUCCUACUGAUCCUUUAAAACAAUAUUGGCUAGACCAUGAAAAUGAUAUGUUCAUGAAGGAAAGAAAUGAAAUGGAUGAAAUAUUCUUUAAAAAUGCCUAUCUUGAAACACAAUUUGCAUGUUGA
This 324-nucleotide ribosomal RNA is filed under the name Triticum aestivum (bread wheat). RNAcentral's name for it is "partial small subunit ribosomal RNA". The record is from RNAcentral. Lineage: Eukaryota; Viridiplantae; Streptophyta; Magnoliopsida; Poales; Poaceae.